UACGUAGGGUGCAAGCGUUAAUCGGAAUUACUGGGCGUAAAGCGUGCGCAGGCGGCUUUGCAAGACAGAUGUGAAAUCCCCAAGCUUAACUUGGGAACUGCAUCCGAUACUGGAUGGCUUGAAUCCGGGAGAGGGAUGCAGAAUUCCAGGUGUAGCGGUGAAAUGCGUAGAUAUCUGGAGGAAUACCGGUGGCGAAGGCGGCAUCCUGGACCGGCAUUGACGCUGAGGAGCGAAAGCUAGGGGAGCAAACGGG
RNAcentral lists this ribosomal RNA (253 nucleotides) under uncultured bacterium. RNAcentral's name for it is "partial 16S ribosomal RNA". It matches the Rfam family "Bacterial small subunit ribosomal RNA", at positions 524 to 776 of the family's 1533-position model. The record is from RNAcentral.